RNAcentral lists this ribosomal RNA (35 nucleotides) under Akanthomyces lecanii. RNAcentral's name for it is "partial 28S ribosomal RNA". Lineage: Eukaryota; Fungi; Ascomycota; Sordariomycetes; Hypocreales; Cordycipitaceae. The record is from RNAcentral.
AACUUCUGAACGUUGACCUCGGAUCAGGUAGGAAU